This 230-nucleotide microRNA precursor is filed under the name Podarcis lilfordi (Lilford's wall lizard). The record is from RNAcentral. Lineage: Eukaryota; Metazoa; Chordata; Lepidosauria; Squamata; Lacertidae.
AGAAUAUUAGCCUUGUUUCGCCAUCCUAGGCUUCAUCAUUAUAGCAGGCUCUAGGUAAUGCGAAUAAACUAUUAUCCUGUAAUAUUACAUAUGGUAUAUACAAUUAUUUAGGGUUUUUUAUAUUUAUUUUGCUGUAAAAAUGUGUGAGAUUACGAUAUUGUAUUUAUUCGCAUUACCUAGAGCCUGUUCUACUGAUGAAGCCUAGGAUGGCGAAACAAGGCUAAUAUUCC